UGUGAUCUUAGCCCCUCACCGGUCUAUGCGUCUCUCACUGGGCUAAAUACCUCCUUCCCCACCCGACCAAAAUCUAAACGAGCUCUUCCAAGAUCGAACCACAUCAGCUCCGUGUUGCGCAAAGGCGCGGACGCCGAAGUCCUCGCGCAAAGCUCUGAAUCUCGACUUUUGCACGAAGAUGGGAAGCGGGUCGGCCGCUGGAGAAGGAGGCCCCGGUGCACGGCAGGUGGAAGCCGACGCGGGCGCGCUGACCCGCUCCCGCCAGAGGGCGCCACACUCCUCCUCUACCGCUCUCCGGGGCUCGCUUCCAAAGUUCAAACCUCCGGCGAGCGAGCGGAUGGGUGAGCCUUCCAGAUGCUCGCAGUCCCGCCGGGCGGCCGACGACCUGUAGGCAUCGCGGUUUCCCGUUGGUGGCCUGACGAUUUUAUGAGAAAAACACAGCUGGCCUGACAAGGGCUCUUUGAUCAAAUAACUAACUUUUGUACUGCACGACAACGGGAGACGGCAAACUGAGUUUCCUUCUUGGUUUCCAUUUUGGUUUCCAUUCCAUUUUAUGACUCACAAAUGAUUUCCUCCUUUUCCAACGAGAGCAUCAGUCCCACUGGGGGCCUUGAGUGGCGAAGAGAUUCUGAGAAAGUAGGUCUGACAAAAUGAAGCCUUUCUCUAAAAAGGGUCUGUCUAAACAGACCCUGUUAAUCCAGGGUGCAGCUGCCAUGCCGCGGAGCUGCCCCAAGACAUUUUUCCUUCUUGGUGACUGUUGGUCAUCGUAAGGAGACCACGACGGACGCCCUCGGCCACGCGGAGGUUGGGCCAUGUGCCACGCGUACUAGGGAGGGUUGUCCAGGGACAGCCCUUCCAUCGUCACAGCUCUCCCUGUCCACGGGGCUCCAUGAGGGAAAGCUGCUCAGAUAUUUGGGGGAGCCACCCCGGGAGUCCUGAGGGGGUGAGAGGUGAAGCCCCUCUCCCCCUCCACUCCAUCAGACAGGGAUUCCAGCUCUCCUGCCAGAGUGCAGCCGCCCGGCGAGCAAGAAGUUAAACACCAAAUCGCAGUGCCCUGGGUUAAGGCUUUUUUCCUGGGAAAGAAAAAAACGAUUCAGCGACACUUGUCAAAGAUGAGGAGCGAGGCCGAGGCUGCACCCACACUGGGGUUGAUGCUGAGGUGGAGGUAAAGCCACAGGCAGAACCGGAGCAGGGGACACGGCAGGACCUGGACUGCGGGGUGAGCAGCGGCCAGGAGACGGGUUGAUCCGAUGAAACCUCGGGGAGGAUGGAGACCCGCCAAGGAUGCUGGAGGGAGACGGUGCCUCCGCCUGCCAUCUGACACCCACUUAGUCCACCUGGACUCAUCCCGUGGAUGGUUCGCCUGCCACCUGCAGCCAGGAAUGCAGCUCCGAAUCUGCUCUUUCCACACGCAUGUACGAAGCACCGACCGGGUGCCAGCUGCGGUUCCGCAGGACACCAGAGCCUCUGGGGGAACUCGCUUACAGAGCCACAGUUCCCAUCGCUCCCUGAGAUAACUAUCGCUUCUCUUCCUAGACAGCUCUGUCUGCUCCUCUGUCUGAAGGCCGAGUCCGCAUAAGUGCACAUUCCCAAUCACGGAUGAUGGCCCUUCACAGCCCGGCCCCAGCUCACCUGGGCAGCCCCCUCCUCCGAAAUCCUCGGGAAGCUCCCCUAGCCUCAGACCACGUCUGCUUCCUGGAUGUUCCCAGAAUGCCUCAGGCGGGCUGCGGCGCCUCCCCACCCUGAGUUCCAUUGCCGCUGCCCUGAUGGCGUCUCACCUGGACCUUCCCUGCCAUCCUCCUUCCAGGACAGGUUAGCGCCCACUGGCCUUGUGGGCACCCGUGACCUCUGCACCCCUGCCCCCUCACCAUCCCCACCCCAUACGCUGCUGCCCUAGGCCCCGCAGCUCCAUCAUCUCCACCCUGUUGGCAUUCCCA
Molecule: long non-coding RNA, 1937 nt
Organism: Pteropus alecto (black flying fox)
Lineage: Eukaryota; Metazoa; Chordata; Mammalia; Chiroptera; Pteropodidae
Exons: 3
Source: RefSeq, a predicted model, not a curated record